CUGACGAGUCCCAAAUAGGACGAAACGCGCGUN
This is a non-coding RNA of Schistosoma rodhaini, 33 nucleotides long. Lineage: Eukaryota; Metazoa; Platyhelminthes; Trematoda; Strigeidida; Schistosomatidae. The record is from Rfam.